AGAGCGCCUCUCUCUCUCUCUCUCUCUCUCUCUGUGUCUUACCAGAAAACGAACCAAAGAGUAAGUUGAAAAGGGCUUUUCACCGGCCAUCCAAAUACCAACAAAAUAACUCUCUCUCUCGCAUUGCACAGAAAGAAAUGCCCUUAUGACUCUUCCUAUCCCCUUCGUUUAUAUGGGACCCUUCUCCUCUCUAUUCUGUCUCUCACUCUCUCUCUUUCUUUCAACUCCAUCUGAUUGAGAAAGGAAAGGAAAUGAAAUGGAGGGAAAGAAAGAAUUUGCUGGUGGGGCUACGCUUAGAGCACAAAUCAGAAAUUGGCUUAAGAGGACAAGCACUUCUCAUCUUUCUCAACCACCCAUUUGGGCCAUUUUCUUCUUAUACAAGAUGAAAUGAACAUUUUGCCCUUCCUUCAAAGGGUUUCAUUUCAUCCCUUUCUGUAAUCAAUGGUCUUUUUAGUCAUUUUGCAUUAGAAGGUUAUUCCAUUGUGAAGAAGAGCCAGCACUACUACUACUACAAUUACUACUGGUCUUGAAGGAGCAAUCUGUAAGGAGAAGAUGAUUAAUGUCUAACUGGAUAUAUUUGUUUAAUUAGGUCAGUUUGAUUUGUGAUUCUGGUGUUGCACUUUUUUCUUUUCUCUAAUUACCUUGUAUUAUUAAUUAACUGGAUCUUUAAUAUAAAUAACAUAUUGGAAUUAAUUUUAAUUUCUCCACAAAAACAUAACGAUAAACUAUGGUUUUUUUUUUCUUAUUUCAUGUCUGUAUUUUUUAUUUGUUUCUUUCUACCUCUCUGCAAUCUAUUUUUCUGCCGGCAAAUUCUUUGGUGUAUUAAUAUUUAUUCAUAUAUUUAAUUAUGUUGACAUAAACACAAAUGCAAGCUCUUGGAACUUAGAUUGUCUUUGUUCUUGUCCUAAUAUUUAUUGCCAAUGGAAAUUAGGUCAAAGCAUUAGAAAUACAGUAAUGUUGAAUGGAAAUAUAAGGGAAUUGAGCUUCAAUAAUGGUGGGAGAGAUAAAGGAGGAAAGGAGAGCUUUUGUUGUGUGUUUUUGUUUCUUUUACUUCCUUCUUUUUUUUUUUUUUUUCUUUUUAAAUCAUUGUCUUCAAAGAAUCAUUAAUUGCAGAUACGACAUAUACAUGUAAAGGGUACAACAGAAAUAAACCCCCGUGAAGAAAAUCUAAACAAUCAUGAUGAUGGCUCCAUUUCUUUCUUUCUUUCUUUUUUUUAAUUAUUAUUAUUCUUUGAGAUAUAAUGGCUUGAUCAAGUUGAAUGUUGUAUAUUUCUUAUAAGUAAUAAUAAUAAUAAUCAUUAUAUGUAGAAAUAUAGACAUUCAACAUGCUAAUUUGCCAUGGCUUAAUCAUGGUGUGUAUACAGUCAUAUUAAUUGCCAUGGCAGUGUUCAUACCGGAAUAUGGAAACUAAAUGGAGGUAAGAACAACACAUUCUAGAUCAUGUUUGAAUAAUUAAUUGAUUGUUUAUCGUUGGAAAA
Molecule: long non-coding RNA, 1478 nt
Organism: Jatropha curcas
Lineage: Eukaryota; Viridiplantae; Streptophyta; Magnoliopsida; Malpighiales; Euphorbiaceae
Source: RefSeq, a predicted model, not a curated record